RNAcentral lists this long non-coding RNA (302 nucleotides) under Elaeis guineensis (African oil palm). RNAcentral describes it as "long non-coding RNA (EGUI_LNC031695)". Lineage: Eukaryota; Viridiplantae; Streptophyta; Magnoliopsida; Arecales; Arecaceae. The record is from RNAcentral.
UUUCACAGCUACGUCCCUCUCAAUGCUCCAAAAGCUCAAGUGUUGAUGGAGGUCAGGGAGUAGCUGCCGAGGUCGGAAAAGAUGCGCACACAUCUCGGGAAGCGCAACCCUAGCAAGUUCUACCUCUAACAUCGUGACCACGGCCAUGAUAUGGAGAAGUAUAUUCAGCUCCGAGACGAGAUCGAGGAGCUCAUCAGGCAAGGUCGGCUCGAUAGAUUCAUUCGACGUCGACCGGAAGGUAGGGAGGAUCGGUCGAGGGCCCUACCACAGCCAGAGCCAUCAAGGAGGGAAGAACAGCCUAA